GUUUGGAUUAGGAUUUGGUUAGGGUUUAUUUAGGAUUUAGGAUUUUUUUAGGAUUUGGUUUAGGAUUUAGGAUUUUCAUUAGGAUUUGAUUUAGGAUUUAGUUAGGAUUUUAUUUAGGAUUUAGGAUUUGGUUUAGGAUUUGGUUAGGAUUUGGUUUAGGAUUUGGUUGGGAUUUGGUUUAAGGUUUAUUUAGGGUUUCAUUUAGGUUUUAGGAUUUUAUUAAGAUUUAAGAUUCAAUUAGUUUUGGCCUAAAGUUUUAAUGAAGUUCAAUAGGAUUUUAACUAGAAUUAAAUUAAGAUUGAAUUGAGAUAUAUUUGAGUGACAUUUAUGUUCUUCUAUUAUUUCUUUAAGAAUUCUUAUUGUUUUUUUGAAAUUUCUUUGAGAUUUUUUUUGAAUUUGAUUAAGCUUGCUUAGCAUUAUUAUGGUUUAAUUAGAGCAUUGUUGGUAUUCUAUUAGAAUUAGAAUUUUGUUAUUACAAUUUCUAUUCUUCCUUCCAUAGCCAAGUGCUCGGAGCAUUCUCAAGCAAGACUUCACGUAUUACGACAACAGCUUAGACACAUUCCACCCGAUUUACUGGAGAAUCUUGAGGACCUUAAUUUAUCUCCUAAAUUUUUUUCUUGGCUUUGGAUUUGUUGAUUCCGAUUAUUCAAAUUGAACAGAGCAUUACAUUGCUAAUAAGUAUGCCCCGACUACUUGUAAUU
Molecule: long non-coding RNA, 701 nt
Filed under: Physcomitrium patens
Lineage: Eukaryota; Viridiplantae; Streptophyta; Bryopsida; Funariales; Funariaceae
Description: long non-coding RNA (PPAT_LNC000572)
Source: RNAcentral